GACGAACGCUGGCGGCGUGCUUAACACAUGCAAGUCGAACGGAAAGGCCCUGCUUUUGUGGGGUGCUCGAGUGGCGAACGGGUGAGUAACACGUGAGUAACCUGCCCUUGACUUUGGGAUAACUUCAGGAAACUGGGGCUAAUACCGGAUAGGAGCUCCUGCUGCAUGGGGGGGGUUGGAAAGUUUCGGCGGUUGGGGAUGGACUCGCGGCUUAUCAGCUUGUUGGUGGGGUAGUGGCUUACCAAGGCUUUGACGGGUAGCCGGCCUGAGAGGGUGACCGGCCACAUUGGGACUGAGAGACGGCCCAGAAUCCUACGGGAGGCAGAAGUGGGGAAUAUUGCAGAAUGGGCGGAAGCCUGAUGCAGCAACGCCGCGUGCGGGAUGACGGCCUUCGGGUUGUAAACCGCUUUCGCCUGUGACGAAGCGUGAGUGACGGUAAUGGGUAAAGAAGCACCGGCUAACUACGUG
This 468-nucleotide ribosomal RNA is filed under the name uncultured bacterium. Its description in RNAcentral is "partial 16S ribosomal RNA". It matches the Rfam family "Bacterial small subunit ribosomal RNA", at positions 28 to 507 of the family's 1533-position model. The record is from RNAcentral.